Long non-coding RNA from Aethalodelphis obliquidens (Pacific white-sided dolphin), 807 nucleotides. RefSeq lists it as uncharacterized. The transcript is spliced from 4 exons. Lineage: Eukaryota; Metazoa; Chordata; Mammalia; Artiodactyla; Delphinidae. The record is from RefSeq and is a predicted model, not a curated record.
GGGUUGCUGGGCUUGUGUAACCGUGCCUAGAGGGCGGGGUUCCUGUACAUUCCCACUUCACCAGAUAACCUGCCCCCAACACCACUCCAGCUUCUGCCAGACAGAUGGAACUCUCCAACAUGAAAAUCUGCGCAGCCAUUCCAACAAGCAGGACUGUGCCUGAGGUUGCCCGAAGGAUGCCGAGGAAAAAAGACUUAAGGACUGAGAGCGCUCUUACCCCAAGAUCGAACGAAAGGGCCUUGAGAAAUGGAAUUACUCUCCUCAUCCUGGCGAGUUUUCCUGAAACUACUUAUCCUCAGCAUCCGCACUAUGAGAGGUGGAGCCUGACAGUCAGGCGGCUGCAGGCAGAAGCCCUCUAAGUUAACACAGCGAUAUGGCCCGUUAGAACCAAGCACUCUCGGCAUUCUUGAGAGACUGAGAUUCCGGAGCAGCAGAUGAACGGGACUGGGACUUAGAGCGAAGCAUGCUCACCCACCCCUCCCUCCAUCUUUUUACGCACGCACCAGCUCGUCUUCACGUGCAUCAGGGUAGUGGACAGUGUUGACUUGAAUUGCUCUCGCUCACUCCAAGCCUUUCCUGUGAAUGAACCCGAAAACACUCGACAGGUCGUGAAUAAUCGUUUUAAUGAGUGUGCAAAGCGUGUGACGGGGUGCACCGAGCUGUCGGGUUAAACAAACAACUUGUACCCUGACCAAAUCCGAUUGUUAAAGUGCAAAGUGAUGUCAGUACCAUUUCCAUUGCCCUUCAGAAAACCACAGAUCUGACACGCGGGAGUCCAAUUUUCUCCAUUAAAGAAAAAUAACAAUA